CUCCUUUGGUGGAUACCGAGGCCU
This 24-nucleotide non-coding RNA is filed under the name Arabidopsis thaliana (thale cress). Lineage: Eukaryota; Viridiplantae; Streptophyta; Magnoliopsida; Brassicales; Brassicaceae. The record is from RNAcentral.